AUGGAAGCUAUCACCAAGCGACUAUUAAACCGUUACUCACACUGCACACGUAUAGCUCCCGUUCGAUCACACAACAAUCGCCAGCUACCUCCGCUUCGCCAAGUCCGAGCUCCCUCCUAUCUCCUUUCGCCGAACUCUCCACGGCCGCUCACCAACAUCCCUCCGACGAAUCCGCACCACCUCAACACCGACGCCGUCGCAACCGUCCAGCUUGGACUCAGGCCAUGGAAUCGCCUCCGCCGUCUACCCCGUUGCAACAACCUACCUCAGAAACUAAUCACUUAUUGUAGUGAUGUAAUACAAUGUGGUUUAGUUAUUUAG
Molecule: non-coding RNA, 321 nt
Organism: Vicia faba (fava bean)
Lineage: Eukaryota; Viridiplantae; Streptophyta; Magnoliopsida; Fabales; Fabaceae
Source: the annotation of a GenBank genome assembly